GACGAACGCUGGCGGCGUGCUUAAUACAUGCAAGUCGAGCGAACGGACGAGAAGCUUGUUUCUUUGUCGUUAGCGGAGGACGGGAGGGUAACAUGUGUAUACUCUACUUAUAUGACUGGUAUAUUCACGAGAAACCGGCGCUAAUACCGGAUGAUCUUCUGAUCCGUAUGGUUCAAUAGUAAAAUACGGCCUUGCUGUCUCUUAUAGCUGGAUACGCGCUGCAUUAGCUAGUUGGUAAGGUAACGGGUUUCCAAGGCAACGAUGCAUAGCCGACUUGAGAGGGUGAUAGGCGGCACUGGAACUGAGACGCGGUCCAUGCUCCUGCGAGAGGGAGCAGUAGGGAAUCUGACGCAGUAGGCGGAAACCUGGCGGAGCGGCGCCACGUGUGUGAUAGAGAUCUUCGGAUCGUAAAGCUCUGUUAUGGGGUGUAAACAUAUGUCUAAGUAGCUGUACACAGCGUGACGGUACCUAGUCAAGAAGCCACGGCUAACUACGUG
RNAcentral lists this ribosomal RNA (497 nucleotides) under uncultured bacterium. RNAcentral describes it as "partial 16S ribosomal RNA". It matches the Rfam family "Bacterial small subunit ribosomal RNA", at positions 28 to 507 of the family's 1533-position model. The record is from RNAcentral.